RNAcentral lists this ribosomal RNA (484 nucleotides) under uncultured bacterium. Its description in RNAcentral is "partial 16S ribosomal RNA". It matches the Rfam family "Bacterial small subunit ribosomal RNA", at positions 30 to 507 of the family's 1533-position model. The record is from RNAcentral.
AUUGAACGCUGGCGGCAGGCCUAACACAUGCAAGUCGAGCGGAUGAAGGGAGCUUGCUCCUGGAUUCAGCGGCGGACGGGUGAGUAAUGCCUAGGAAUCUGCCUGGUAUUGGGGGAUAACGUCCGGAAACGGGCGCUAAUACCGCAUACGUCCUGAGGGAGAAAGGGGGGGAUCUUCGGACCUCACGCUAUCAGAUGAGCCUAGGUCGGAUUAGCUAGUUGGUGGGGUAAAGGCCUACCAAGGCGACGAUCCGUAACUGGUCUGAGAGGAUGAUCAGUCACACUGGAACUGAGACACGGUCCAGACUCCUACGGGAGGCAGCAGUGGGGAAUAUUGGACAAUGGGCGAAAGCCUGAUCCAGCCAUGCCGCGUGUGUGAAGAAGGUCUUCGGAUUGUAAAGCACUUUAAGUUGGGAGGAAGAGCAGUAUGUUAAUACCUUGCUGUUUUGACGUUACCAACAGAAUAAGCACCGGCUAACUUCGUG